This 582-nucleotide long non-coding RNA is filed under the name Arabidopsis lyrata. RNAcentral's name for it is "long non-coding RNA (ALYR_LNC001216)". Lineage: Eukaryota; Viridiplantae; Streptophyta; Magnoliopsida; Brassicales; Brassicaceae. The record is from RNAcentral.
UACCAACAAUUAAACGUUAGUAGUACGAUUGUAACCUUCUUCAUCUAUUUCGACUUUACCAAGGUUGUUUCUAACUCUACUCCAAUGACUAAUGGUGGGUAUAUGAACGGAAAAGUGAAAACCAAUGAUCCCGAACCCGCCGAGCUCUCUGAAUUUAUGACUAAAGUCUCAGGUCUUCUUAAGUAAGUCCAAAAUCCAAUGAAUCCCUUACUAUCCUUUAGUUUAGUUUCUUUCGAUCAAAGCACUAAACAUUUUGAUCUUAUUAAGGCUUGUGGAUUCCAAAGACAUAGUGGAACUUGAACUGAAGCAACUCGACUGUGAGAUCGUUAUUCGAAAGAAGGAAGCUUUACAGCAAGCUGUACCACCAGCUCCAGUUUAUCACUCGAUGCCUCCUCCAAUGACAGACCUUUCAAUGCCUCCAGCUCAACCAGUGGCUCCUCCUCCUUCUCCGACUCCUUCCUCAACCCCUGCAACAGCAAAACCAACAACCGCCCCAUCCUCAUCUCAUCCUCCACUCAAGAGUCCUAUGGCUGGUACUUUCUACAGAUCUCCUGGACCUGGUGAACCACCUUUUGUCAAGGU